AUUGUUGAUUCUCAGGGUUAGAAUUGAAAAGUUGUGUUCAUGAUAUGUACAAAGGAUGUUUUGUAGUUGGAUGGGGCUUCUGUUGCUUGUUAAUUUUUUGAAUUCAGAAAUGGUGUACAAUGAAGUUCAAAGAGUUGUCUUGGGAAGCAUAUUUGUUGGUGUUUGAUCUGUAGCAUUUGUUGUUUGAAAACAGCUAGCUAGUAGCUGCAUCUCAGUUGGUUUUGUUGGCAGGGGAUGCUAGAAAUCAAUUGUUUUAUGAAAUUGUUUAUUUCAGGCCGCUCCAGAUUUAACUCAGGCUUUUAUUACUUAAUUCCAAGUCUGCUGUGCCCUGUCA
This 334-nucleotide unclassified non-coding RNA is filed under the name Hevea brasiliensis (rubber tree). Lineage: Eukaryota; Viridiplantae; Streptophyta; Magnoliopsida; Malpighiales; Euphorbiaceae. The record is from RNAcentral.